UUAACCUCUCUUAUAUAUAUAUACUCCUGUAAUAAUACAUAAAUGUUAGUCUCUUUCUCUUUUUCUUUCAUUGAUCAUUAGCUUAUUUACUGCGUUAUUCAUAAUUUUGUUUUAUAAUUUAUUUUUUAAUUUUAACAUUUUUAUAUUUUAUAUAUAGGUGAGUGAUGAUCGUAAUUGCAUGCUAUUUUUUUCUACCAUCUCUAAAUUCAAGUAAGUAUUAUUUAUUCUGAUAUUGAAUUUUAAUUUUAAUAAAAGCUUAAUUGGAAUAAAGUUUCAUCUUUUUAACUUCUCUUAUAUAUACUUUUAUGAUGAUGUAUAAUUUUUAAGUUCCUUCCCCAAUUUUUGUUAUUGAUUGUUAUAUUCUUCAAUCAAAUGAGUUCCUUUUUAUUUAACUUUAUUAUUGUUACAUGCAUAUGAUGGUCGUUUAAUACGCUAAUUUUUCCUACUAUAUCCAAUCUUGAAUUAAUGUUCUUAUCUUUUUGUGUGAUGAUUUUAUUUGACUAUUAUUGUUGAUUUAUAGAAGAGAUAAAAGAAGAAUGAAGAAAGGAGAAAAAUAGAUAACUGCGUAAGUAGAAAUUUUAUUGAUAUAGUUGACCGGUUUAAGCUUUUCUAAAUUUUGUGUUUGAUAUUAUUGAUCUCCUUUUUAAUAUUAUUUUAUUUUAUAAUUUAUUUAUUUAUUAUCAAUUGUAUGCAAUUGAAAUUAUUUUUGUAUUUAAUAUCACAUUCACGAAUUGUUCUGUAUUUAAAUUAUUUUUGACAACCUAAAAUUCUUAAAUUGUAAAUAAUAAUAAAGAAAAAUAUAAAACAUAAUUUUUAUUUUUGUUUUUUUGCAAUUGUAUGAUUAGUUUACCCAUAUAAAUUUGGUUAGAGAUGUGGGAAGAGGAAAUGUUUAACAAAUUAAUACUAUUAAACUUUGAAUAAUAUAAUAAGAAAAAUAUAAAAUAUAUAUUAUUUUAUAAUUACAAAAUUAUUUUUUAGUACAAACUUGAUUAGAGGUGUGGAAUUAGGGUGAGGUGGGGGUGGGGAGAGGGUGCGGGGGUUGGAUGUGCAUGGGAGAGGUAG
This 1062-nucleotide long non-coding RNA is filed under the name Capsicum annuum. Its description in RNAcentral is "long non-coding RNA (CANN_LNC001453)". The record is from RNAcentral. Lineage: Eukaryota; Viridiplantae; Streptophyta; Magnoliopsida; Solanales; Solanaceae.